This is a long non-coding RNA of Myiozetetes cayanensis, 1985 nucleotides long. RefSeq lists it as uncharacterized. Lineage: Eukaryota; Metazoa; Chordata; Aves; Passeriformes; Tyrannidae. The record is from RefSeq and is a predicted model, not a curated record. The transcript is spliced from 3 exons.
GAACACUGGAGACACCAGGGGGGUCUCAGGGUGCCAAGUGGGAAGUUGAGGACAGCAGGAGGGUCUUGGGGACACCAGGGGGGUCUCAGGACUCACCUGCUUGUGGUGCUGCCCCUCCUGUCCCCCCCAGGCCCCAAUAAAGCCCCCAAAUGUCCCCUAACCCCCAUUUUUCCUUUAAUCACCUCCUCCCCCAGAUCCCUUUGACCCCCCAAUGCUCCCAAGACCUCUUUUAACUCCCCCAAAUGCACCCAGAGGCCCCCAAAAUGCCCCAAAUCCCAAUCAAACCCCCCAAAGAGGGAUCACCUGGCACCCUGGGACAGGAACACAGUGGGCUGUACUGGGGGCACUGGGCUGUACUGGGAGAGCCCCAAAGCCCCUCCCCUGGGCAUCCGUGCCCCGGUCUGGGAACCACGGCGGGGUUGGAUCAAGGGGUGCACUUGAUGAUCUGGGAGGUCUUUUCCAAGCCGGCUGAUUCUGGGAUUCUCUGGGUGCCAUUGCCAGGGCAGCACAUGCUGGAGGCUCUGUCCACAGGGGAUAGAUGUGUCUGUGCAGACAGAGAGACAAGGUUCCUGUCCUGGAGAGCAGGCCCUGAGGUGGCCCUGAGAAGAAGUGGAAGGCAGAGGUGGUGCUGAGGCAGGAGAGCCCCGUGCUGGGGAAGAGGCUGAGCUGGGAGUGCCCAGCAGCGAGAAGGUGCUGUGUCCAUGCCCUGUGUGCCAGUUGCAGAGGGGAGUGAGAGAGAGGCUUUAGGGGGUCCAGCCAGGGCCAACCCACUACACCUGCUGUCUGUGCCCGGUGAGUGGAGCUGGAGAAAAUGAUGGAACAUAGCAUGGUGAUCCUCCCUCCCUUCCCUGAGUGCCACUGGAUAAACCUGGUCUCUGUGCCCAGCGGGUAGACCUGGUGUCCUAUCCCAGUGGGUAGACCUGGUCUGCAGGCCCAGCAGGAACACCUGAUCCCUGUCUGUAGCUUUGUCACUUGAGGGGACAGGCGUCCCUCUCAAGCCCAAUCCCUCAGCCCCUCUGCCACCCACCACCACAGAAACAAUCCCUCACAUCAGACCCCAAAACCGAAGACAAAAGCCCCCAGCAGUGCCGGGAGCUGGAGCCGGCAAAGGGCUCUGGCUGCUGCGCUCUCCCGGCGGGUGGGGAGGUCGUGCCUGGAGCCGGUGGCUCCUGCACUGGGCUCUGCUGCCUCUGCCCCUCCCACCACUCCACCUGCUUUUUGCCAAAAGCAUUUCUUGAUACCAAAAUCCAGGUCCGGGGUGGGAUGGUGUUUCCAGGUCUUCCCGGCUCCUUUGGUUUAUCAGGCCUGCCUGGCUCCAGGGCACGGCUCGGCCUGCAGGUCUACCCGGUUCUUUUUGGCCUUCAGGUCUACCCAGCUCCUUUCAGCCCUCAAGAGUUCAUGGUGACAUCACUUUUUGGUCCUUUGAUGUCGGCCCAGUGCUGCUCGUCUGUGGCCUCCUGGAGCCGUGGGGACAUUGUGACACUCCAGGGACACAGGGAAUCAAGGGUCCCCCUCGACCCUGCGGGACCUCACGGGGCCCUGGGGCCCCUCUGGCACUCUUGAUGGCAAGGAGGACCCUGUGACAAUGCAGGGCCUCAGGGAACCAAAGGGACCCUGUGACACUGAGGGACCUCGUGGUUUUCAGUCUCUUCCGAUAGUUCUGUGCCUCCACAGAGAGGCAAAGUAGUGGAGCCUGAGUGUGUUGAUCCAAAAUAUUCCCAACUCAUCUCAAUAUGUCCCUGCUAACAGAGGUGCUGUGUGGUCCCUCUGCUCUCUGGGCACUUGCAUCCUUGCCCGAUCACUCCGGUAGCCAACACCACAGGCCAGGGGAUCCCCUGGAGGGGGAGCAGAGACAUCUUUCACCAGAUCAGAUUGCUCAGAGCCCCAUCCAACCUGGCCUUGAAUGUUUGUAAGGUUGGGGCAUCCACCACCUCCCUGGAAAUGUGUUCCAGUGUUUCAUUCUCAUUAAAUAUUUCUUCCCUCUC